GACGAACGCUGGCGGCGUGCUUAACACAUGCAAGUCGAACGGAAAGGCCCUGCUUUUGUGGGGUGCUCGAGUGGCGAACGGGUGAGUAACACGUGAGUAACCUGCCCUUGACUUUGGGAUAACUUCAGGAAACUGGGGCUAAUACCGGAUAGGAGCUCCUGCUGCAUGGUGGGGGUUGGAAAGUUUCGGCGGUUGGGGAUGGACUCGCGGCUUAUCAGCUUGUUGGUGGGGUAGUGGCUUACCAAGGCUUUGACGGGUAGCCGGCCUGAGAGGGUGACCGGCCACAUUGGGACUGAGCUACGGCCCAGACUCCUACGGGAGGCAGCAGUGGGGAAUAUUGCACAAUGGGCGGAAGCCUGAUGCAGCAACGCCGCGUGCGGGAUGACGGCCUUCGGGUUGUAAGCCGCUUUCGCCUGUGACGAAGCGUGAGUGACGGUAAUGGGUAAAGAAGCACCGGCUAACUACGUG
Molecule: ribosomal RNA, 468 nt
Filed under: uncultured bacterium
Lineage: Bacteria
Description: partial 16S ribosomal RNA
Rfam family: Bacterial small subunit ribosomal RNA
Source: RNAcentral